GCGCCGGGCCCCGGCUGAGGGCCGGGGGUUCCCGCGGGCCCCCCCGGGGUGGAGAAGGGGAAAUGCCGCGGGGUGUCCCCGGGAACCGUCCCAGGCCGCAGAGGGUGGCAGGUGGAGGUGCUGGGGGUGCUCCGUGCCCCACAAAAUGUCGGGUUGGGAAAGCAGAAGGCUGCUGGCACCGUGCGUGUAGGGCUGCUGGGGGGAAAGGAUGGUAGGGACGGGGAGCGGUGCACGCACUCAGAGCAGGGCUGGGUGCCAAGCACCGUGCAGCGGGGCUGUGGCACCCCACGGGUUUGGGGUUCAGCUCCCCCGUCACGCACCCUGCACAGUGUGGUGAGGUGACACCCUGACGCGGAGGGUGGCAGUGGAGCGUGGAAGGCUUCUCUGCAGGCACUUCACAGGCCAGUGGCCCUCCUUUCUCCAUGUUACUUGUCAUUUAAGAUCUCCAAGUGAGCAGAGAACUAAAGUUGAGGCUGAAUUUGAGUCCUUACAUGCACCCGCAGUGUUUCUCAGCUCUGCGAUUCGGGGACAGCGACGUGCUGCCAUGAGAACCUCAAAGAGAGGGAGCUGGAGGACCAGUUGCUGUUCUACCUGUACAAAGGAUCGUUACAAAGGGUGGUGAAGAGGUUCAGAUGCUGAGCAGUGAGCUCAUUGACUGCAUAAAUUAAAAACUGGAAUGCUCUCAGGUGCUUCAUUUAAUAUCGCUUUGCCAAGGCUUCUGCUCUGACAGUUUCUUAAGAACGGGGAUUGCUGUUAGACUGGUCAUUCUAUGAAUCUUUUGAACAACCUGAGUCUCAACAUAAAGUAUUGAGUUCACUGCACCACACACCUAUUUUCUGGAAGAAUUUUUCAGUUUUAGAACUGCGCAAUAUAUUUUUUUCCAGUUUCUUGGCCUGAAUAGCUUGAGAGGGGCUGUGUACACGCUUUAGUUCCUGUUAUGCUCUAGAGCACCUGCACGCAGCACCAACAUGCCAGAGACAAAAGCUUGUAGAGUAUUGUGGUAGGUGCUUAAGCUCACGUCAAACUCCUUCAGUGCAAGGAAAUCUUAAAUAGUAAGGGAAUGGGGAAAAGGAGCACGAAUGUGGUUCUGCACAGGUAACAAUAGGCAGAAAAGUCAUUUGUGCUUCAAAAUGGUCAGAAGUCCUUCUAAAAUAUCACUGAAGAGAGUUCGUUGAUCCCAGUGGUGGGUGGCAAGAUCAGUAGUGUGGGUUCACUUUGAUCCUUGAUUCAUGGUUCAGUGGAGCCAUUAGUCCUAUCUGGAUUUUCAAGGUCUUUUUCCAUGGGUCCUGGAAAAGUUCCUUCUGUAAGUCUUUCUCCAGUUUGCUGACUGCACUGCACAACCCACACAACCAAAGAGAUAUUUUUAAUCUGGUCACAUUAUAUGACAUUUUAUUGCAUUAUUUUUGACCAGAGUUCUAGCACAGUAUUUUAAUUUAGUUCCAUCACUUCAAAGGAAGUUUUUCCUCCCUGUACUUGUAGCCACUGUCAAUAAAAAAUGCAGUAGGCUUUGCAUUGUAUUUCUUAAUCAUUUAGAAAAUGUCUUGGGGUAUGUAUCUGUUUUUUAAACUUUCUUUUGAUUUUGUGUAUCACAGUUUUGUUUUAUUCUAGAAAGCACAGGCUCUCACCUCUUUACAAAUAGUCCCUGGCAAAAAUUAAAGAAAAUGAUUCAGAACAGCAAGUUAAACUGUCAUGGGAAGUGUAACGUCUCUCCUUAUUCAGGGGAGUGGAUACCGAACGGUGUACUGAGGCAUUCAAAACUCUUGCACAACCUGUUGGGUUUUGGCAGGUAAAGAGGGCUGCUCUUGGGGCUCUUAGCCUAGGGCCUGAAACCAGCCAAGAUCAAAUGACACAAAUGAACCAAAUGAGGGAGGUGGAGGGAAAGCAGAAGGCAAAGUACAAGGAUGAGAUACUCUAUCUCCAUGAUUUAGAG
Long non-coding RNA from Cygnus olor (mute swan), 1930 nucleotides. RefSeq lists it as uncharacterized. NCBI's taxonomy places the organism in Eukaryota, Metazoa, Chordata, Aves, Anseriformes, Anatidae. The transcript has 2 exons. The record is from RefSeq and is a predicted model, not a curated record.